RNAcentral lists this ribosomal RNA (418 nucleotides) under Fusarium metavorans. RNAcentral's name for it is "partial large subunit ribosomal RNA". It matches the Rfam family "Eukaryotic large subunit ribosomal RNA", at positions 163 to 589 of the family's 3401-position model. The record is from RNAcentral. Lineage: Eukaryota; Fungi; Ascomycota; Sordariomycetes; Hypocreales; Nectriaceae.
UUUUGGUGAGGUGCCUUCCGAGUUCCCUGGAACGGGACGCCAUAGAGGGUGAGAGCCCCGUCUGGUUGGACGCCGAACCUCUGUAAAGCUCCUUCGACGAGUCGAGUAGUUUGGGAAUGCUGCUCUAAAUGGGAGGUAUAUGUCUUCUAAAGCUAAAUACCGGCCAGAGACCGAUAGCGCACAAGUAGAGUGAUCGAAAGAUGAAAAGAACUUUGAAAAGAGAGUUAAAAAGUACGUGAAAUUGUUGAAAGGGAAGCGCUUGUGACCAGACUUGGGCUUGGUUGAUCAUCCGGGGUUCUCCCCGGUGCACUCUUCCGGCCCAGGCCAGCAUCAGUUCGCCCUGGGGGACAAAGGCUUCGGGAACGUGGCUCUCUCCGGGGAGUGUUAUAGCCCGUUGCGUAAUACCCUGUGGCGGACU